GACGAACGCUGGCGGCGUGCCUAAUACAUGCAAGUCGAGCGGACUUGAAGGAGUGCUUGCACUCCUGAGAGUUAGCGGCGGACGGGUGAGUAACACGUAGGCAACCUGCCCUCAAGACUGGGAUAACUACCGGAAACGGUAGCUAAUACCGGAUAAUUUAUUACAUAGCAUUAUGUGAUAAUGAAAGACGGAGCAAUCUGUCACUUGGGGAUGGGCCUGCGGCGCAUUAGCUAGUUGGUGGGGUAACGGCCCACCAAGGCGACGAUGCGUAGCCGACCUGAGAGGGUGAACGGCCACACUGGGACUGGGACACGGCCCAGACUCCUACGGGAGGCAGCAGUAGGGAAUCUUCCGCAAUGGGCGAAAGCCUGACGGAGCAACGCCGCGUGAGUGAUGAAGGUUUUCGGAUCGUAAAGCUCUGUUGCCAAGGAAGAACGUCUCAUAGAGUAACUGCUAUGAGAGUGACGGUACUUGAGAAGAAAGCCCCGGCUAACUACGUG
This 500-nucleotide ribosomal RNA is filed under the name uncultured bacterium. Its description in RNAcentral is "partial 16S ribosomal RNA". It matches the Rfam family "Bacterial small subunit ribosomal RNA", at positions 28 to 507 of the family's 1533-position model. The record is from RNAcentral.